UUUCGCAAUGCCCGAAAGGGUGACGAAGCGACGCCGCGUGAGUGAGGAAGGCCUUCGGGUUGUAAAGCUCUGUCAGGAGUUAAGAAAUAUAAGUGUGCUAAUACCACAUUUAUUUGACGAAGGCUCCAAAGGAAGCCACGGCUAACUCUGUGCCAGCAGCCGCGGUAAUACAGAGGUGGCAAGCGUUGUUCGGAAUUAUUGGGCGUAAAGAGCACGUAGGUGGGUUUGUAAGUCAGAUGUGAAAGCCUUCUGUUCAACGGAAGAAUCGCAUCUGAAACUGCGAGUCUUGAGUGUAGGAGGGGAGAGUGGAACUUCUGGUGGAGCGGUGAAAUGCGUAGAUAUCAGAAGGAACGUCGGCGGCGAAAGCGACUCUCUGGCCUAUUACUGACACUGAGGUGCGAAAGUUAGGGGAGCAAGCGGGAUUAGAUACCCCGGUAGUCCUAACCGUAAACGAUGGGCACUAAGUAGAGGGGUUUUA
RNAcentral lists this ribosomal RNA (478 nucleotides) under uncultured anaerobic ammonium-oxidizing bacterium. RNAcentral's name for it is "bacterial SSU rRNA". It matches the Rfam family "Bacterial small subunit ribosomal RNA", at positions 364 to 833 of the family's 1533-position model. The record is from RNAcentral.